AGCGAAUGCUGGCGGCAGGCCUAACACAUGCAAGUCGAACGGACCCUUCGGGGUUAGUGGCGGACGGGUGAGUAACACGUGGGAACGUGCCCUUUGGUUCGGAAUAGCUCCUGGAAACGGGUGGUAAUGCCGAAUGUGCCCUUCGGGGGAAAGAUUUAUCGCCAUUGGAGCGGCACGCGUCUGAUUAGCUAGUUGGUAGUGUAACGGACUACCAAGGCGACGAUCAGUAGCUGGUCUGAGAGGAUGAUCAGCCACAUUGGGACUGAGACACGGCCCAAACUCCUAAGGGAGGCAGCAGUGGGGAAUCUUGCGCAAUGGGCGAAAGCCUGACGCAGCCAUGCCGCGUGAAUGAUGAAGGUCUUAGGAUUGUAAAAUUCUUUCACCGGGGACGAUAAUGACGGUACCCGGAGAAGAAGCCCCGGCUAACUUCGUGCCAGCCGCCGCGGUAA
This 449-nucleotide ribosomal RNA is filed under the name uncultured bacterium. RNAcentral's name for it is "partial 16S ribosomal RNA". It matches the Rfam family "Bacterial small subunit ribosomal RNA", at positions 29 to 523 of the family's 1533-position model. The record is from RNAcentral.